AAGUCGUAACAAGGUAACCGUAGGUGAACCUGCGGUUGGAUCAUUAAUGAAAUAGGGUGUGGGGGAAAGAGGAGUGGUGGGGGAAGGGUGUGUGGGGAAAGUGGGCUGCCGUCGAGGUAGUAAGCUGCCGUCAGGGCAGUGAGUAGACGAGGGUGACGUACACUUAUUUGAGUGACGUCCCUUUCAUCGAGUGGCGUCCACUUAUUUGAGUGGACUCCCCUCCUCUGCUACCACUUAUCCCCCUCUCCUCCCUCUCUGCUUCUUCCCCAUCUCAUCACCCUCUGGAUUUAUCCAGUCAACCCCUGUCAAACGGAUCGAUCAAGUGGGGGAGCUUUUUACUACUGUUCCCCCCUUACUUUUAUAAAACCCCUUGAAAAAACACUGAAUCAGAGACAAUGAGAAACAACUUUUGACAACGGAUCUCUUGGCUCUC
This 433-nucleotide unclassified non-coding RNA is filed under the name fungal sp. RNAcentral describes it as "partial internal transcribed spacer region". The stretch from base 1 to 46 matches the Rfam family "Eukaryotic small subunit ribosomal RNA", at positions 1786 to 1831 of the family's 1831-position model. Lineage: Eukaryota; Fungi. The record is from RNAcentral.